RNAcentral lists this long non-coding RNA (658 nucleotides) under Salvia miltiorrhiza (redroot sage). RNAcentral's name for it is "long non-coding RNA (SMIL_LNC012599)". Lineage: Eukaryota; Viridiplantae; Streptophyta; Magnoliopsida; Lamiales; Lamiaceae. The record is from RNAcentral.
GUCCCGUUAAUAAUGACACGUUUCUUUUCGGCACGGUUAUUAAGAAUAGUUAUAUUAGGAGGUAAGUUGGAUGGUCCACAUCUUUAAUGUUAUAAUUAAUUAGUUUUAAUUAUGGUUAACAAAAGAAAAUUUAUUCAUGCUGCUGCCGCCGCCGGCGCUCUCAUCACCGGCGAGGCCGGCGGCGCCGCCACCUUCCCUUCACCCUCAUCGUCUCCUUCCACCCCAAGGCCCAAAUCCAUCUACAGACAUUUCAAAUAACAGUGGAUUCACACAAGAAAAAUCAGAAAAUCAACAGUCCAAUUGAUUCAAACUAAUAUUUCGAAAAAGAAAAAUCAACAGCAGAGGCGGCUCAGAUCCGGAGCUCUAAUUUCUGCAGAUACAAGGGGAGGCGGUGCAGAUCCGGAGCCCUAAGUUCUGAAGAUUAAAGGGGAGAGUGGAGACGAGAUAUUUUGAUGACCCAUGAGGAUUUAUCGGGGAGCGGCGAUUGGAGGGAAUAGAUUGUGCGUUUGGAGAGGUAGAAGCCCCAGCUGGUGUCGGAGAUCCCGGAAUUGGGGAGGACGGGGAAGCGCGCGACGGAGGAGGGCGGAGGAGGGACGGCGGCGCGCCAGGUGGCGCAAAUGGAGCGGAAGCGGAGGACGUCGGUUGAGGUGGGGAGGUG